UGGGGAAUAUUGGACAAUGGGCGAAAGCCUGAUCCAGCCAUGCCGCGUGUGUGAAGAAGGUCUUCGGAUUGUAAAGCACUUUAAGUUGGAGGAAGGGCAGUAAGCGAAUACCUUGCUGUUUUGACGUUACCGACAGAAUAAGCACCGGCUAACUCUGUGCCAGCAGCCGCGGUAAUACAGAGGGUGCGAGCGUUAAUCGGAAUUACUGGGCGUAAAGCGCGCGUAGGUGGUUCGUUAAGUUGAAUGUGAAAGCCCCGGGCUCAACCUGGGAACUGCAUCCAAAACUGGCGAGCUAGAGUAGGGCAGAGGGUGGUGGAAUUUCCUGUGUAGCGGUGAAAUGCGUAGAUAUAGGAAGGAACACCAGUGGCGAAGGCGACCACCUGGGCUCAUACUGACACUGAGGUGCGAAAGCGUGGGGAGCAAACAGG
This 428-nucleotide ribosomal RNA is filed under the name Pseudomonadota bacterium. RNAcentral's name for it is "Proteobacteria bacterium partial 16S ribosomal RNA". It matches the Rfam family "Bacterial small subunit ribosomal RNA", at positions 355 to 776 of the family's 1533-position model. The record is from RNAcentral. Lineage: Bacteria; Pseudomonadati; Pseudomonadota.